Non-coding RNA from Phascolarctos cinereus (koala), 319 nucleotides. The record is from RefSeq and is a predicted model, not a curated record. Lineage: Eukaryota; Metazoa; Chordata; Mammalia; Diprotodontia; Phascolarctidae.
CUUCCCUCUGUCCAGAUGGCUUCAACAGCCUUGACUGAAGAGGUGGAACAGAAAGGCUACUCUCAUCAUCUCCCCCCUCAAGAAGUAGGUACCCAAAUUCAUUCGGAAAGAAGGGCGAGGGUCAUGCAUUCCUCAUCAGGACACCUGGAUUCUGGGCUUGCACUUGGCUGACACUGACUAUCUAUGACCCCUGGAGAUUAAAAAGUACAAACCAGAGGAAUAGUCUUGAGACCAGGAAACUCGAAGGGGAAGCAAUUCUAUGAUUUUAAGUUUGCAAAGGCACUUGACAAAUAUUAUCUCAUUUGAUCCUCACAACAAG